GGUUGACCUCGGAUCAGGUAGGGAUACCCGCUGAACUUGGAAG
RNAcentral lists this ribosomal RNA (43 nucleotides) under fungal sp. 4.20.4C. RNAcentral describes it as "partial 28S ribosomal RNA". The record is from RNAcentral. Lineage: Eukaryota; Fungi.